UGGGGGAUAUUGCACAAUGGGCGAAAGCCUGAUGCAGCAACGCCGCGUGAGGGAAGACGGUUUUCGGAUUGUAAACCUCUGUUCUAAGUGACGAACAAAUGACGGUAGCUUAGGAGAAAGCCCCGGCUAACUACGUGCCAGCAGCCGCGGUAAUACGUAGGGGGCAAGCGUUGUCCGGAAUUACUGGGUGUAAAGGGAGCGCAGGCGGAGAAGCAAGUCAGUGGUGAAAACGAUGGGCUUAACUCAUCGACUGCCAUUGAAACUGUUUCCCUUGAGUGAAGUAGAGGCAGGCGGAAUUCCGAGUGUAGCGGUGAAAUGCGUAGAUAUUCGGAGGAACACCAGUGGCGAAGGCGGCCUGCUGGGCUUUAACUGACGCUGAGGCUCGAAAGUGUGGGGAGCA
This 400-nucleotide ribosomal RNA is filed under the name uncultured bacterium. Its description in RNAcentral is "bacterial SSU rRNA". It matches the Rfam family "Bacterial small subunit ribosomal RNA", at positions 355 to 770 of the family's 1533-position model. The record is from RNAcentral.